RNAcentral lists this ribosomal RNA (361 nucleotides) under Staphylococcus aureus. RNAcentral describes it as "partial 23S ribosomal RNA". It matches the Rfam family "Bacterial large subunit ribosomal RNA", at positions 1758 to 2118 of the family's 2925-position model. Lineage: Bacteria; Bacillati; Bacillota; Bacilli; Caryophanales; Staphylococcaceae. The record is from RNAcentral.
GGGUUAACGCCCAGAAGAGCCGCAGUGAAUAGGCCCAAGCGACUGUUUAUCAAAAACACAGGUCUCUGCUAAACCGUAAGGUGAUGUAUAGGGGCUGACGCCUGCCCGGUGCUGGAAGGUUAAGAGGAGUGGUUAGCUUCUGCGAAGCUACGAAUCGAAGCCCCAGUAAACGGCGGCCGUAACUAUAACGGUCCUAAGGUAGCGAAAUUCCUUGUCGGGUAAGUUCCGACCCGCACGAAAGGCGUAACGAUUUGGGCACUGUCUCAACGAGAGACUCGGUGAAAUCAUAGUACCUGUGAAGAUGCAGGUUACCCGCGACAGGACGGAAAGACCCCGUGGAGCUUUACUGUAGCCUGAUAUU